This 679-nucleotide ribosomal RNA is filed under the name fungal endophyte. RNAcentral describes it as "eukaryotic LSU rRNA". Lineage: Eukaryota; Fungi. The record is from RNAcentral.
UGGUGAUGGGBGCCUGUCCCCCGUGCUUUGCGGCGGGACUCGCCUGAAAAGCAUCGGCGUCCGGCGGCUGGUCUUGCGCGUAGCAGAUUGUUCGCACAAGGGCCGGCCCGCAGGGCUGCCGCAUACGUCAAUUGCAUCUCGUAGUUUGACCUCGGAUCAGGUAGGGAUACCCGCUGAACUUAAGCAUAUCAAUAAGCGGAGGAAAAGAAACCAACAGGGAUUGCCUCAGUAACGGCGAGUGAAGCGGCAACAGCUCAAAUUUGAAAUCUGGCUCCUUGCGGGGUCCGAGUUGUACUUUGCAGAGGGUGGUUCGGCAACGGCGCCUGUCUAAGUUCCUUGGAACAGGACGUCAGAGAGGGUGAGAACCCCGUACGCGGCAGGUGCCUGCGCCAUGUGAACCCCCUUCGACGAGUCGAGUUGUUUGGGAAUGCAGCUCUAAAUGGGAGGUAUAUUUCUUCUAAAGCUAAAUACUGGCCAGAGACCGAUAGCGCACAAGUAGAGUGAUCGAAAGAUGAAAAGCACUUUGGAAAGAGAGUCAAACAGCACGUGAAAUUGUUGAAAGGGAAGCGCUUGCAACCAGACUUGGCUGCCGCUGUUCAUCGGGGGUCCGUCCCCCGUGCACUCGGCGGCAGGCAGGCCAGCAUCAGUUGGGGCGGCUGGAGAAAGGCCUUGGGAAUGU